CCUUCACAGCGCGUGUAAAACGCGCGAAUACACCCUCACAUCCGGUUUCACGCAAAACGGUACAUAAAAUGUUGCACUUUUCGUAAACAUACCGUUUUGCCACAGAAGACCUUUCCUCGAACAACAUGCGAUAUCAGCAGAUCCGUCCGACAGAUUUGCGAACGGAUUGCACCAGUGCGAUCAGCACGAUAAAGACAACAAAUCCACG
This 208-nucleotide long non-coding RNA is filed under the name Ananas comosus (pineapple). RNAcentral describes it as "long non-coding RNA (ACOM_LNC007215)". Lineage: Eukaryota; Viridiplantae; Streptophyta; Magnoliopsida; Poales; Bromeliaceae. The record is from RNAcentral.